CCGAUACUGUGAUGAUAACAUAGUUCAGCAGACUUAACCUGAUGAACAAUCCUAAAGUCUUUCGCUCCUAUCUGAUGUAUCUG
This is a small nucleolar RNA of Mesocricetus auratus (golden hamster), 83 nucleotides long. NCBI's taxonomy places the organism in Eukaryota, Metazoa, Chordata, Mammalia, Rodentia, Cricetidae. The record is from Ensembl.